GCUGACAGGAUUCCUAGAUCCCAACUCAAGCUGUCUGUUGAUUUUAACUACAGUGUUUGAGGCUGUGUGUGGAACACAGAUGAAUAACCAGCCCUGGAAUUGAUUUUUCAGAAUGAGAGAAAACAGCCUAAAUGUGAUGUUCUUAAUUAAGAAGCACAUGCACCACUCUGGAAAUGUACUAGCAAAUAAAACAACCAGCUGAGAAAGGAAGAGAGGCUGAAGAGUGCAAGAGUUUAGGUUGGACAACCAGAAAUUUGGGUCAUAGUAAACAAGGCACAUGACUCGGCAAAGUUAAUUACUACUCACUCUCAGCCUUGUGUCCUCAUCUGUAAAUUGAGGAUAAUAAAAAUACUAUCUCCCACACUGUACUGUAUGAAAGA
This is a long non-coding RNA of Artibeus jamaicensis (Jamaican fruit-eating bat), 380 nucleotides long. RefSeq lists it as uncharacterized. The transcript is spliced from 3 exons. Lineage: Eukaryota; Metazoa; Chordata; Mammalia; Chiroptera; Phyllostomidae. The record is from RefSeq and is a predicted model, not a curated record.